Molecule: ribosomal RNA, 460 nt
Filed under: uncultured bacterium
Lineage: Bacteria
Description: partial 16S ribosomal RNA
Rfam family: Bacterial small subunit ribosomal RNA
Source: RNAcentral
CCUACGGGGGGCAGCAGUGAGGAAUAUUGGUCCAUGGGCGCGAGCCUGAACCAGCCAAGUAGCGUGAAGGAUGCCUGCCCUACGGGUUGUAAACUUCUUUUAUAAAGGAAUCAAGUUAGGCCCGUGUGCCUUUUUGUAUUUCCUUUAUGAAUAAGGAUCGGAUAAAUCCGUGCCAGCAGCCGCGGUAAUACGGAGGAUCCAAGCGUUAUCCGGAUUUAUUGGGUUUAAAGGGAGCGUCGAUGGGUUGUUAAGUCAGUUGUGAAAGUUUGCGGCUCAACCGUAAAAUUGCAAUUGAUACUGGCAGUCGUGAGGACAGUUGAGGUAGGCGGAAUUCGUGGGGUAGCGGUGAAAUGCUUAGAGAUCACGAAGAACUCCGAUUGCGAAGGCAGCUUACUAAACUGCCACUGACAUUGAUGCUCGAAAGCGUGGGGAGCAAACAGGAGUAGAUACCCCAGUAGUC